UACGGAGGGUGCAAGCGUUGUUCGGAAUUACUGGGCGUAAAGGGCGCGUAGGCGGCCGAUCAAGUCUGGUGUGAAAGCCCGGGGCUCAACCCCGGAAGUGCACUGGAAACUGGUUGGCUUGAGUUCGGGAGAGGAAGGCAGAAUUCCCGGUGUAGGAGUGAAAUCCGUAGAGAUCGGGAGGAAAAUCAGUGGCGAAGGCGGCCUUCUGGAACGAAACUGACGCUGAGGCGCGAAAGCGUGGGGAGCAAACAGG
This 253-nucleotide ribosomal RNA is filed under the name uncultured bacterium. RNAcentral describes it as "partial 16S ribosomal RNA". It matches the Rfam family "Bacterial small subunit ribosomal RNA", at positions 524 to 776 of the family's 1533-position model. The record is from RNAcentral.